UGGGGAAUAUUGGGCAAUGGGCGCAAGCCUGACCCAGCAACGCCGCGUGAAGGAAGAAGGCUUUCGGGUUGUAAACUUCUUUUGUCAGGGACGAUAAUGACGGUACCUGACGAAUAAGCCACGGCUAACUACGUGCCAGCAGCCGCGGUAAUACGUAGGUGGCAAGCGUUAUCCGGAUUUACUGGGUGUAAAGGGCGUGUAGGCGGGACUGCAAGUCAGAUGUGAAAACUAUGGGCUCAACCCAUAGCCUGCAUUUGAAACUGUAGUUCUUGAGUACUGGAGAGGCAGGCGGAAUUCCGUGUGUAGCGGUGAAAUGCGUAGAUAUACGGAGGAACACCAGUGGCGAAGGCGGCCUGCUGGACAGCAACUGACGCUGAGGCGCGAAAGCGUGGGGAGCAAACAGG
This 404-nucleotide ribosomal RNA is filed under the name uncultured bacterium. RNAcentral describes it as "bacterial SSU rRNA". It matches the Rfam family "Bacterial small subunit ribosomal RNA", at positions 355 to 776 of the family's 1533-position model. The record is from RNAcentral.